This 358-nucleotide ribosomal RNA is filed under the name Procambarus hidalgoensis. Its description in RNAcentral is "partial small subunit ribosomal RNA". The record is from RNAcentral. Lineage: Eukaryota; Metazoa; Arthropoda; Malacostraca; Decapoda; Cambaridae.
UACUAGGAUAUUAAGAGUUAUGUUCUUUAAAUUUAAGAAAUUUGGCGGUGAUUUAGUCUAGUUAGAGGAACCUGUUUUAUAAACGAUACAACACGCAUUAUUUUACUUAUUUUAGUUAAUCAGCUUGUAUACCGUCAUUAUGAGAUAAUUUAGGAGAAAAUAUUAUUGAAAUUAUAUUGUUAAGUAUAUUAGAUCAAGGUGCAGCUUAUGAGUAAGUAGAUAUGGGUUACAAUAAAAUUUAUUUAAUAUGAAUUAAGUAUUUAAAUAUAUUUAUGAAGGAGGAUUUAAUUGUAAGAGAAGAAGUAGUGAGAUUUUUUGAUAUGAGCUCUAAAUUAUGUACAUAUCGCCCGUCGCUCGC